UGGGGAAUUUUGGGCAAUGGGCGAAAGCCUGACCCAGCAACGCCGCGUGAAGGACGAAAUCCCUUCGGGAUGUAAACUUCAAAAGUUGGGGAAGAAAUGCCGGAGGAUAAUACCCUUCGGAGAUGACGGUACCCAACGUAAGCCCCGGCUAACUACGUGCCAGCAGCCGCGGUAAUACGUAGGGGGCAAGCGUUGUUCGGAAUUACUGGGCGUAAAGGGCGCGUAGGCGGCACGGCAAGUCAGGAGUGAAAGCCCUGGGCUCAACCCGGGAACUGCUUUUGAAACUGCCGAGCUAGAGUGCGGAAGGGGCAACUGGAAUUCCCAGUGUAGCGGUGAAAUGCGUAGAUAUUGGGAAGAACACCUGAGGCGAAGGCGGGUUGCUGGGCCGACACUGACGCUGAGGCGCGAAAGCCAGGGGAGCGAACGGGAUUAGAUACCCCGGUAGUCCUGGCCCUAAACGAUGGAUACUUGGUGUGUGGGGUCUUCUCAGUCCCCGCGUGCCGGAGCUAACGCGGUAAGUAUCCCGCCUGGGGAGUACGGUCGCAAGGCUGA
Molecule: ribosomal RNA, 552 nt
Filed under: uncultured Acidobacteriota bacterium
Lineage: Bacteria; Pseudomonadati; Acidobacteriota
Description: bacterial SSU rRNA
Rfam family: Bacterial small subunit ribosomal RNA
Source: RNAcentral